AUAGCGGCGCGCCGCAGGGGCCGCCCGGACGAGUUCGCCGUACCCGGAAAGCGACAAGACGGCGACCG
Molecule: non-coding RNA, 68 nt
Organism: Mycobacterium sp. E787
Lineage: Bacteria; Bacillati; Actinomycetota; Actinomycetes; Mycobacteriales; Mycobacteriaceae
Source: Rfam